AAAAGCUCGUAGUUGGAUCUCAGCUCCGGCCGGACGGUCCGCCUACCGGUGGUUACUGUUCGUCGCCGAGCGUUCAGGCGGUUAUUCUUGAUGAUCUUCACCGGUUGUCUCGGGUGACCGCCAAGUUUACUUUGAAAAAAUUAGAGUGCUCAAAGCAGGCGUGACGCCUGAAUAAUUGUGCAUGGAAUAAUGGAAUAGGACCUCGGUUCUAUUUUGUUGGUUUUCGGAACACGAGGUAAUGAUUAAGAGGGACAGACGGGGGCAUUCGUAUUGCGACGCUAGAGGUGAAAUUCUUGGACCGUCGCAAGACGAACUACUGCGAAAGCAUUUGCCAAGAAUGUUUCCAUUAAUCAAGAACGAAAGUUAGAGGUUCGAAGGCGAUCAGAUACCGCCCUAGUUCUAACCAUAAACGAUGCCAGCCAGCGAUCCGGCUGUGUUCCUCAAAUGACACGCCGGGCAGCUUCCGGGAAACCAAAGCUUUUGGGUUCCGGGGGAAGUAUGGUUGCAAAGCUGAAACUUAAAGGAAUUGACGGAAGGGCACCACCAGAAAUGGAGCCUGCGGCUUAAUUUGACUCAACACGGGAAAACUUACCCGGCCCGGACACAGGAAGGAUUGACAGAUUAAGAGCUCUUUCUUGAUUCUGUGGGUGGUGGUGCAUGGCCGUUCUUAGUUGGUGGGGCGACUUGUCUGGUUAAUUCCGAUAACGAACGAGACUCUAGCCUACUAAAUAGACGUUCCCAUCAUCUUUUGUGGGACGUUCUUCUUAGAGGGACAAGCGGCGUUUAGCCGCACGAGACAGAGCAAUAACAGGUCUGGGAUGCCCUUAGAUGUCCGGGGCCGCACGCGCGCUACAUUGAAGGAAUCAGCGUGUGCUUUCCCUGUCCGAAAGGACUGGGUAACCCGUUGAACCUCCUUCGUGCUGGGGAUUGGAAACUGUAAUUGAUUCCAUGAACGAGGAAUUCCCAGUAAGCACGAGUCAUCAGCUCGUGUUGAUUACGUCCCUGCCCUUUGUCCACACCGCCCGUCGCUACUACCGAUUGAAUGAUUUAGUGAGGUCUUCGGACUGGCGCUCGGAUUGGCCUUCGUGGUCGAGCCGGUGUGCCGGAAAGAUGACCAAACUUGAUCAUUUAGAGGAAGUAAAAGUCGUAACAAGGUUUU
RNAcentral lists this ribosomal RNA (1159 nucleotides) under Araneus gemmoides. RNAcentral describes it as "SSU rRNA". It matches the Rfam family "Eukaryotic small subunit ribosomal RNA", at positions 622 to 1803 of the family's 1831-position model. Lineage: Eukaryota; Metazoa; Arthropoda; Arachnida; Araneae; Araneidae. The record is from RNAcentral. RNAcentral also lists the same sequence under 2 other names.